Molecule: ribosomal RNA, 492 nt
Filed under: uncultured bacterium
Lineage: Bacteria
Description: partial 16S ribosomal RNA
Rfam family: Bacterial small subunit ribosomal RNA
Source: RNAcentral
AAUGAACGCUGGCGGCAUGCCUAAUACAUGCAAGUCGAGCGGACACACAAUGAGCUUUCUCCCUUACCGUUGGCGACUGACGGGCGAGUAACACAUACAUCACCAUCUUCUAAUUCUUGGGUGACUACGGAGAAACACUUCUACUACCGCCUAAUACAAUCAACGGGAUGAUUCAAUGGUGAUACACAGCUUUCCUGAUUCUAUGAGCCGAUGCCGCACUAGCUAGUUGGCUUGGUAAAGGCCUACCAAGGCAACGAACCGUAGCUGGUCUGAGAGGAUGAUCAGCCACACUGGAACUGAGACACGGUCCAGACUCCUACGGGAGGCAGCAGUAGGGAAUAUUCGACAAUGGGCGAAAGCCUGAUCGAGCCAUGCCGCGUGGGUGAUGAAGGUCUUCGGGUUGUAAAGCCCUGUUGUUGGGAAAGAAAAACAGCAGGUGAAAAUACGGCUGUUCUGACGGUACCUAAUGAGAAAGCACCGGCUAACUUCGUG